GGGUGGUGACAUUAUUACUGAGGACUUUAGUCCCCGUCUCCGCCGUCAAUGCUUUCCCUCUUCUGCAAAACCCUAAACCCCACAUUUCCUCUUCGCGUCACUUCUUCUCACUCCUUCUCCCUCCCUCGGUCUACCCGCACUAUCGUACGAAACAUGAGCUCCGGGUCUCGAAUGUUCCAGCUCAAACUCGACCCGUUAACCGGAAACUCCGAAUGGGUCGUAAUCGAGGAGAGCGACACUCCAGAGCAAACUCCAACUCCACUUCUUGCCACAACGUCAUACCUCGAUAUGCUCAACGACUCUCCCAGAAACAGAGCAUUCCGUGAAGCCAUUGACAAGACUGUAACUAAACCUUGCCAUGUUCUUGAUAUUGGUGCUGGAACUGGAUUAUUGUCGAUGAUGGCUGCCCGGGCAAUGGGUCCUGCUGAUUCAGCGUCUAACUCUGAUUCCAAGGGGAUGGUUACGGCUUGUGAAUCGUACCUUCCUAUGGUGAAAUUGAUGCGGAAAGUUUUGAGGGCAAAUGGCAUAGAAAGGGGAAUUCGCAUCAUUAAUAAGAGGUCAGAUGAAUUAGAAGUUGGCAGGGAUAUAGCAUCUCGAGCAGAUGUUCUUGUUAGUGAAAUACUUGACUCAGAGCUAUUAGGUGAAGGACUGAUACCAACCUUGCAGCAUGCCCAUGACAAUCUAUUGGUGGAAAGUCCAGAAACAGUGCCUUACCGAGGAACGAUAUUUGGUCAGCUGGUUGAAAGCAAAGACUUGUGGAAGAUGCAUGAUUUAUUUAAUAAUGAAGAAAAGGCAUCAGAUACAAUUCAUCUUGUUCCAAAGGGCAUGGAUACAAUAAUAUGUGUCAAACAUCAACAAUUUCCCAUGCAUUGUGAUGCAAUCAGUGAGGGAAUUAAACUGCUUUCAGAGCCCUUCAAAAUUUUUGAUUUUGACUUUUGGAAAAGGCCAGACAGUUCUAGGGAAACCGAGCUGCUUAUAAAGGCAACUAAAGGUGGCACUGCCCAUGCUAUCAUCUCAUGGUGGUUGCUUCAACUUGAUAGAGAAGGGACGGUCUUUUAUUCAACUGGUCCAAAGUGGAUACAUUGUCCUUCAGAUGUGAAGGAUCCAUCCCUAUCUUGUUCUGAAGCGUGGUGUGAUCAUUGGAAACAAUGUGUUUGGUUCAUUCCAAACAUAGGUUUAUCUGUACAAAAGGAUGAAUAUGUCCAUUUACAUGCCGUUCAUACCGAUAUUAACCUCUCUUAUGUAGUCAAGACUCAAUCUCAAAAUAUGGAAGUUAGACAAUACAAACUCAGUGCUCAAGAUUGUCAACUCUUUUUAUCACCAGAAAGAAUUGCAAUAUAUGGGGACAAGAAUUGGAGAUGUUCAAUGCUAAAAGCAAUUAACAAUGCCCUAAAGCAGAAGGCAUCUCCUUUGUGCAUUGUUGCUGAUGAUAGCAUCUUCCUGACAAUAGCUCUUGGUCAUCAUGCCAGAGCGUCAAAUGUAAUAUCUUUAUUUCCUGGUCUGCAAGAUAAAGGUGAACAGUAUCUGCAAGCUGUUGCUGCUUCAAAUGACUAUUCAAUGGAUUGCAUUAAAGUUCUAAAAAAGAGGAGCUCUGCAUUGACCAUGCAAGAUACACAUCACAGGAAGGUUGACUUGUUGAUUGCAGAACCUUUCUAUUAUGGAAGUGAUAGUGUGCUUCCUUGGCAAAAUCUGCGGUUUUGGAAGGAAAGAACUACAAUGGACCCCAUCUUGUCAAAAGACGUUGUGAUAAUGCCUUGUAAAGGGCUCUUGAAGGCUUGUGCAAUGUCCCUUCCUGAUCUUUGGAGAAGUCGACGAUGCCUAAAAGACAUUGAGGGUUUUGAUCAUUCAGUUGUGAAUUCCACUUUAGGAGCAUGUGGAGAUUUACCUGCAGGGGAACAAAGUCCUUGUCUGCCCUUUUUUAUCUGGCAAUGUGGGGAGACUAAGAAACUGAGUGAAAUAAUUACAAUUAUGGAAUUCAAUUUCCAAGAACUAAUGUGCCCAUGCUCAGAAGAAGCUCAGUUUGAAUUUACCGAGUCAGGAAUAUGCCAUGGACUAGUGUUCUGGAUUGAUUGGGUAAUGGAUGCAGGAGAGUCCACUGUCAUAUCGACGGGGCCAGGUAUGGGUUUUGAUUUUCUUUAGCAUCAUGGGCUGAUGGUUUCCUCUUCCAUGAAAUCACUUGUUAUAUUACAUUUGUGGUGAUCUCAUGACAUAGCUACAGUGUCUUGACCAACUUUAUGUGAUUUAUUUAGAACAACGAUAUUGGAAGCAAGGUGUGAAGCUUUUAGAGAAGCCUGUGACUGUGCAAGAGCGGGGAUCUAUCUCCAACUUUUGUCGUUCAACAAAACUUAAAGCGUCUUUCGAUCCCUCAGUAGCUGACCUUUGUGUGGAGCUUGCUUUUGUAUGAACUCAAUUGCUGUAUUGGUCCAUUUUCCUUCAUGCAAUCCCAAGAUUCAUGGAAAUCUUGUUAAACUGGUUUGCAUUUGCCAUUGCCUAAUUUCGAGGUUUUGGGUAAGAUGUGUUCUGAAAACUGCUACAACUGAGGUUAGACAGAGUCUUCAGAGGUAUACAUAUAUUUAUGACUACUGUAGACAAAUGUAAACUGUGUUUACUUCGACUCCGUUUUUUUUUUUUU
Molecule: RNA transcript, 2632 nt
Organism: Ipomoea nil (Japanese morning glory)
Lineage: Eukaryota; Viridiplantae; Streptophyta; Magnoliopsida; Solanales; Convolvulaceae
Gene name: protein arginine N-methyltransferase 1.6
Exons: 14
Source: RefSeq, a predicted model, not a curated record